CGUGGGAGGGAAAAUGCAUUAACUAAAUUAUAAGAAACCCUCCAAGCAGAAAUAAAUACUGAAAAGGAAGCUAAAAAGAAAUCAAAGCAUACACAAGAGUUGUAAUAUUUUAAAGCAUGGAAAGAGGAAUGAAGUGGAAUAAACAAAAGGUUAAAUUAAGGUUAACUUAAAUUAAAGCAAUGAAACAAAAUUGGGAAGACAACCAGGCUGAAUGAAUAGAAUGCGUGAAACCAGAUAAUUCACACAAAAUAUAUCAAAUAAAAAAGAGAGAUGCAUAAGACAUAUUAAGGCUGUGUCAUUGUUCAGCCAAGGAAAAUGUCUCCAGCUUGGGAAGGUGUGAAGCUGCAGGUUCACACAGACCCGUGAUGGAUACAUAAUAAAAUAUAAACUAAUAUACUAUUGUAUAUUAGUAGUAAAGUAGUGUAUUGUGAUAUACUAUUGCUGUUAUAAAAAAGGAAAAACAAUACAAUGAUAACAUUAAUAAUGACAUACUAUUAAUAGGAAAAGGCACCUCAGUCAGUUAUGAUGCGAGGUGGAAGAUUGUUAAAAGUAGUCUGAUUCAAGCUUAAGGUUUGCUCAAACUCAGUACAAUGAUAUAGGAGAUGAAGAAAAUAAGGAAAUAACUACACUAAUCAGGUGCAUAGAGACACUUGACCUGCUUGUAAACCUGUCAUCUUAAAUGAGACUUUGUUAAGAUGAAGAGCAACCUAUACUAACAACUAAUAAGCCAAACCCUGUAUACAACAGCUAAAGCUACAGGUUUGAGAAGCUGAAUAAAAUGAAUUAAAUAUGUGGACACUACCAAGCUGAUGAGCAAGUUACACAUAAUGAUUAGGCAUAUGAUUUACUAAUGCAGAUGUAAUAACUUUAUUCUAAAAUUCAAGGAGAACAAACAAGAACAACAUCUUCAGUUAUGUCUUGUUGUUGUUCUCUGUGCAGUGUGCUGAGUUUUGUUUUUUGUUUCUUUUGUUUUUUUGAAAUGUUGCUUGAGUGAUGAGUACUGUAACUUCUGAAGUAGCUCUCACCAUGUGUCCUUGAUGAUGAUAAGUCCAGAGCCAGCUGAGAGCUGGGUUAUCUGUUUUGUUUUAUGUGAUAAGGCUGAGAAAUUAAAACUUAGUUUCUUGUUUUGAAAAAAAAAAAGGAAAAAAAAAAAAAAGAGAGAGGCCCCUACUCUCUGAAUACAAUAUUCUCUUCAUAACUCGGCAGUAUGAAAUGUCAUGAAACAGUGUAACUCACUCACAGUAAAUCAGCAGUAUAGGAUAAUACAAACCUAUCUAAUAAAUCUAAUGAUUUUCACAUUCUUUUAACUAAGAAGUGUGAUGCAAACUAAAACUACAUACUGAUUACACAAGAAGUAUGAUGUGGCCUACAGCAGUAUCAUGAUUCACUCAUUUUGAUUACAGGUAUAAUGUAAUAUAUGACAGCAUAAUAAUCUCACAACUGCUACAAGCACAUUUGCCUUUCUUAACACACGCGAGUGAAAGGCAACUGUUGAGAAAAUGCCCUUUGGGUGAGACAGGCCCAGAGGCCCUGCAUGCAAGCGUACUAACACACAUACAUGCAAUGAAGAGCAGCUUACACUAGAGCACACACUAUAUGUGCGCCUCUAUAUUGGUGUUAAAACAGGAAAAACUUAAUAGUUUUGUUAUCAACUGCUGAAUUUACCCACUACUGACGUUUAACUCUCCAGCUUGCAGGACAAUAGAAAAAACAAAAACAAAACAAAAACAGACGAACAGGAAAAUGAUGUUGUAUUGGCUGUGUUAUUCAGAGAGGGGAGAAACACCGGGCCAGGCCCUGUGUCAGCCUUCUCUCCCCCUUUUUUGUUUUUCCUCACAAUAUAAUUAACUCAUAACCCACCAAGUUGACAGGAAAACACAGGUAGAUAUUAAAAUUCGUAAGAUCACGUUUAAAAGCACAAAAAAGGAAUUUUCCUUCCUUCAGUAAUC
Long non-coding RNA from Oreochromis aureus, 1949 nucleotides. Lineage: Eukaryota; Metazoa; Chordata; Actinopteri; Cichliformes; Cichlidae. The record is from Ensembl.